AUACUGAUGAGAGACCAGAACAGGGCCCAGCUAACCAAGGAUGUAUUUAAAGUUUCAGGUGUACUGGAAAUGCAAACAGCUGCCACAAUACAAGAAGUAAAAUUGUACCUUCUAGCAAUAACUGACUUGAAUAAAAUCUCCUCCUUUUCUAAGAAAACACAGAUGGGAGUGAAUUAGGAAGAGAAAAAGUCUACUGUUGUGAUGCUUUAAUCCAUUUUAAUAUGUGAGCCUGAAAUUCCUCCUAAAACCAAGUCCCUGAACUUUUAUUACUAAAAGUAAUAAAAAUUCAGGGACUUUGUUUUUAAGAGGAAUUAGGUGCUAGCAGGCAUUUUCUAAGGGUUGAGAUGACAGUGGCCUGAAGAAUGACAGCAGGACAGUCAACUCUGGAGUGUUGCAUCAGUGAUUCUACACACGCCAGCCUAAGCCAGAGCUGCUGAAAUGUGUUCUCAUGACUGGGAAUCCAGCUGCUCUCUCUAGGAUGCAGAUCUUGGAAGGAAAAGCUCCUAACUCUUUCUGGCACAGAUCAUCUUGGGGUCAACAGCUGAAAAAAUGAAGUAGGAAACUCAUUGCUUGCACUGAAAUGCAUUACUUUUCCUUAAUAAGAUAAAAUACAUGCCUGAAGGACAGCAUCCUGUGACAGUGAUCCACAUUCCAGCUGUUUGUGGGGAACUGCUGCCUGUAGGAUGGACUCACAUUGAAGAAGGUCAUGGAGAACUGGCUGCCAUGGGAGGGACCCCACAGUGCAGCAGGGGAUGGACUCCUCUUCCUGAGCAGUGGCAGAAACAACGUGUGAUGAACUGACCAU
Molecule: long non-coding RNA, 805 nt
Organism: Melospiza melodia melodia
Lineage: Eukaryota; Metazoa; Chordata; Aves; Passeriformes; Passerellidae
Exons: 3
Source: RefSeq, a predicted model, not a curated record